RNAcentral lists this long non-coding RNA (2471 nucleotides) under Homo sapiens (human). RNAcentral's name for it is "HSALNT0335175". Lineage: Eukaryota; Metazoa; Chordata; Mammalia; Primates; Hominidae. The record is from RNAcentral.
CAGGAUGAUUUCAUGUCCUUUGUACCCUAGAACUUAAAGUAUAAUAAAAAAAAAAAAAGAAAAUGAUUCCAGACUGUGGAAGCAUAAAUGAGAAGAUGAAGAAUGAACUGUACUGUAAGAAAAAAUUUACUGUGGAUAAGUCGUAAUUGUAGGAGCCCUGUGGCUUGUGAUUUGAAGCCAUUGUGUCAACACAAAUGGUCAAAUGAAGUAAGGAAAAGUACUAGGACCUUGUUCUAACAUGCCUCCAGAAUCCUUAAAUACUAUGUUGAAUGCUUCUUAAAAUGAUGUUGUAAUAAUGCAAAAGUGUAAUAAAUUUACAAAAGAUGAAUAUGAAUACUAUGAUCUGUUGGAUUAGGGAAAUUCAUGCCAUGAUGUAUGGCAAUGAGAGGUAAUUAGAAGGUUGGAUUUGGAAACUUAUAAGGUUAUAUGAUGUUGACAUCAGUUGCAGAUCUUAUGUUGUGCUAGGUGAACACCAAAAAGUAGGAGGAGGAGGAAGUGGAGGAAGAAAAGGAGAAGGAGGAGGAAGGAAAAAGGAAGAGAAGGAGGAGAAAUCUUCAUUCAAUGAAAAGACAGGACAGUAUAGUGGUUACCAGCUCACGCUCUAAGGCCAGAUUGCCAUGUCAUAAUCAUUGCUUUGCCACCUUAACUGCCCCUUGCCUCUUUGACCAGUUUUCUUAUCUGUAAAAUGAGUACAAUAAUCAUAUCUGUCAUAGUAUUUGUGAAUAUUAAAUGGUUAAUUUGGGUGCAUUAUAUAGCAUGGACUGAAACCAUAUUAUCUAUUAUUAUUACAAUUGUUCUUGUUUCCCAGGACGAAAGUGAGGGGAUACACGAGCAGGAAAAGAUGACCUAGAGCUAAAUAUAAAUCUUAUCUAACUUUGGAGUUCCAAGUUCCAGUGCUACAUUCUCCAUCAGUGCCUUAUGUUAGAGAAUGUGAUGAGCUUUGCCUGUGGAGACAGGAUCCCAGGGAAAUGACAAUAACAAAAGAAAGAAGAAAGAAUAUGAGCUUCCUCCAGACAUCAUCAAAGAUCAUUGCCAAAGUUUUGAUGGGCUUUGAUUAAGGUAUCCUGGGACCUCAGCACAACCAACAAUAAAGAGAGAAGGAAGAAGACCCAGGACCAGGACAGCCUCCAUGUCAGAAAUGAAGAAGGAAUCUGCACGUUCAGACAAAAUAGACCUACUGCCCUCUAGAUACUUCCUUCAGCCUCUCAACUUAAGAUAAACUUUUGUGUCUUCAUUCUUAUCAUUUUUGUACCAAGAAAUACUGGACAUCCUUCAUCUCCAGCAGAUUAUAUUUCCAUCUGGCUCUGUCUGUCCUCUUUUAUGACUAGUCUCUUGAAAGUUUUUCUAAUUCAUCUAUGAACUCAAGGUCAAUCAUCAGUGAAAGCCUAGUCAUUAGAGAAACUUUAAUGUCAACCACUUCUGUAGACAUUCUUUUUGCGUUUUGCUCUAACAGGAAUCUGACUCUCUCCUGUGGACUCCGUUCCUUGAAAUCCAAAACUUAAAGUAUAAUAAUAAUAAAAUUAAAAAAAAAAGAAAGAAAUCAAGUCAAGCAGAAAUUGAGUUGAUUCUUCUAUCCCUUGUAUCUCUCAGCUUGGAGAAGUCCUUUUUACUCCACAUUGUCAUUCACAAACAACUGAUUAAAAGAGGGACAACAUGGUUUCACUGAGCAAACAUAGCCCCGUGUAGGAGUGGGAAAAAGCACAAGGCAGUGACAGACUGAAACUCUCUGGAGAAGUCACUCAUCUCAGCUGACUAUGAAGACUCCAUGUGGGACACCAUAGAGACCUCUCCAUUCUUAAUAACUGCUCCCUAUAGUACUAUAAUCCUUGGGCUCUGUUGCUUCAACAUUCUAUGGUUUAUUAAUGAGAUCCAAUAUGAGUUCACUCCUGUCCAUUAUAGUUGCUUCUUAUGAAAAGAAAGGAGAUCCUAUGAGGUUUUGUUCCAUCUGUUCAGUACCUCCAAUGCCAACAGUAUGAUCUCCUUUCUCAGAAACACAGAAAACCAGACAUACUGGGGUGGGCAUGCUUCACAUUUCUCCAUAGCUAAUGCAUGACCUCCAAUCAUAUUCAACCCAUGCUCAAUUCAUCAUUUGCUUAUGCUGUCUGCCAACCUAAAAAAUCUUCUAGUAUUUGUGUAUUCUCUCACCACAUAAUACUAAUACUCUGAAAUUAAUUGUGUUUUCCACUACUUUUGCAUACCAUCCAAAAUCUUGCACACUAAGCAAGGAUUGACUUUUAAAAUGCAUAUUUAUUUUUACACAUUAGCACUUUGGAGAAAGAAAGAAAUCCCUUCUCCUUUUUAUAAUUGAGUGCUCAGCAGUCGUGGGCUCAUAGUUGACAUCUAACCAAAAAGCUUAACAUCUACUGCUAGUUUCAGCCCAAACACCAAUAAGCUGGAUACAUUUGUGUCAGUUCCUUACUUUCUCUAUCAGUUUUUUUCACUUGAAUGGGCUGAACACAAUAAGUGAUUAC